This 109-nucleotide ribosomal RNA is filed under the name Salix viminalis (osier). The record is from RNAcentral. Lineage: Eukaryota; Viridiplantae; Streptophyta; Magnoliopsida; Malpighiales; Salicaceae.
AAGUGCAGAUUGAUCUUGAAAUAGAAAGCACUUUACGCAGGUUGAACGCGCUUGGGCGAGAGUAGUACUAGGAUGGGUGACCUCCUGGGAAGUCCUCGUGUUGCACCCU